RNAcentral lists this ribosomal RNA (497 nucleotides) under uncultured bacterium. RNAcentral's name for it is "partial 16S ribosomal RNA". It matches the Rfam family "Bacterial small subunit ribosomal RNA", at positions 28 to 507 of the family's 1533-position model. The record is from RNAcentral.
GACGAACGCUGGCGGCGUGCCUAAUACAUGCAAGUCGAGCGAACAGACGAGGAGCUUGCUGCUCUGACGUUAGCGGCGGACGGGUGAGUAACACGUGGAUAACCUACCUAUAAGACUGGGAUAACUUCGGGAAAGCGGAGCUAAUACCGGAUAAGAUAUUGAACCGCAGGGUUCAAUAGUGAAAGACGGUUUUGCUGGCAGUUAUAGAUGGUUCCGGGCCGCAUUAGCUAGUUGGGAAGGUAACGGCUUACCAAGGCAACGAUGCGUAGCCGACCUGAGAGGGGGAUCGGCCACACGGGAACUGAGACACGGUCCAGACUCCUACGGGAGGCAGCAGUAGGGAAUCUUCCGCAAUGGGCGAGAGCCUGACGGAGCAACGCCGCGUGAGUGAUGAAGGUCUUCGGAUCGGAAAACUCUGUUAUUAGGGAAGAACAAAUGUGUAAGUAACUAUGCACGUCUUGACGGUACCUAAUCAGAAAGCCACGGCUAACUACGUG